RNAcentral lists this ribosomal RNA (1017 nucleotides) under Salmonella enterica. RNAcentral's name for it is "partial 23S ribosomal RNA". It matches the Rfam family "Bacterial large subunit ribosomal RNA", at positions 1918 to 2925 of the family's 2925-position model. Lineage: Bacteria; Pseudomonadati; Pseudomonadota; Gammaproteobacteria; Enterobacterales; Enterobacteriaceae. RNAcentral also lists the same sequence under 1 other name. The record is from RNAcentral.
CCCCGGUAAACGGCGGCCGUAACUAUAACGGUCCUAAGGUAGCGAAAUUCCUUGUCGGGUAAGUUCCGACCUGCACGAAUGGCGUAAUGAUGGCCAGGCUGUCUCCACCCGAGACUCAGUGAAAUUGAACUCGCUGUGAAGAUGCAGUGUACCCGCGGCAAGACGGAAAGACCCCGUGAACCUUUACUAUAGCUUGACACUGAACAUUGAGCCUUGAUGUGUAGGAUAGGUGGGAGGCUUUGAAGUGUGGACGCCAGUCUGCAUGGAGCCGACCUUGAAAUACCACCCUUUAAUGUUUGAUGUUCUAACGUGGACCCGUAAUCCGGGUUGCGGACAGUGUCUGGUGGGUAGUUUGACUGGGGCGGUCUCCUCCUAAAGAGUAACGGAGGAGCACGAAGGUUGGCUAAUCCUGGUCGGACAUCAGGAGGUUAGUGCAAUGGCAUAAGCCAGCUUGACUGCGAGCGUGACGGCGCGAGCAGGUGCGAAAGCAGGUCAUAGUGAUCCGGUGGUUCUGAAUGGAAGGGCCAUCGCUCAACGGAUAAAAGGUACUCCGGGGAUAACAGGCUGAUACCGCCCAAGAGUUCAUAUCGACGGCGGUGUUUGGCACCUCGAUGUCGGCUCAUCACAUCCUGGGGCUGAAGUAGGUCCCAAGGGUAUGGCUGUUCGCCAUUUAAAGUGGUACGCGAGCUGGGUUUAGAACGUCGUGAGACAGUUCGGUCCCUAUCUGCCGUGGGCGCUGGAGAACUGAGGGGGGCUGCUCCUAGUACGAGAGGACCGGAGUGGACGCAUCACUGGUGUUCGGGUUGUCAUGCCAAUGGCACUGCCCGGUAGCUAAAUGCGGAAGAGAUAAGUGCUGAAAGCAUCUAAGCACGAAACUUGCCCCGAGAUGAGUUCUCCCUGAGACUUAGAGUCUCCUGAAGGAACGUUGAAGACGACGACGUUGAUAGGCCGGGUGUGUAAGCGCAGCGAUGCGUUGAGCUAACCGGUACUAAUGAACCGUGAGGCUUAACCUUACAA